UUGGAAUGAGUACAAUUAAAUCCCUUAACGAGGAUCAAUUGGAGGGCAAGUCUGGUGCCAGCAGCCGCGGUAAUUCCAGCUCCAAUAGCGUAUAUUAAAGUUGUUGCCGUUAAAAAGCUCGUAGUCGAACUUCGGCGCCUGAUGGCCGGUCCGCCUUCUUGGUGUGUACUUGCUCAUCGGGCGCUUACCUCCUGGUGAACUCUGAUGUCCUUUACUGGGUGUCAGAGCAAACCAGGACGUUUACUUUGAAAAAAUUAGAGUGUUCAAAGCAGGCCUACGCCCGAAUACAUUAGCAUGGAAUAAUAGAAUAGGACGCGCGUUCCCAUUUUGUUGGUUUCUGAGAUCGCCGUAAUGAUUAAUAGGGAUAGUUGGGGGCAUUUGUAUUCCGUCGUCAGAGGUGAAAUUCUUGGAUUGCCGGAAGACAAACUACUGCGAAAGCAUUUGCCAAGGAUGUUUUCAUUGAUCAAGAACGAAGGAAGGGGGAUCGAAAACGAUCAGAUACCGUUGUAGUCUCUUCUGUAAACUAUGCCAAUUGGGGAUUAGCACAGGAUUUU
This 554-nucleotide ribosomal RNA is filed under the name Sporobolomyces pararoseus. RNAcentral describes it as "SSU rRNA". It matches the Rfam family "Eukaryotic small subunit ribosomal RNA", at positions 509 to 1067 of the family's 1831-position model. Lineage: Eukaryota; Fungi; Basidiomycota; Microbotryomycetes; Sporidiobolales; Sporidiobolaceae. The record is from RNAcentral.